Non-coding RNA from Marmota flaviventris (yellow-bellied marmot), 608 nucleotides. The record is from the annotation of a RefSeq genome assembly. Lineage: Eukaryota; Metazoa; Chordata; Mammalia; Rodentia; Sciuridae.
UGGGUAGACAAUAUGAGAAGCUGCUAUAAUUGUUAGAGAAAGAAAGUGACAACCUGACAAGAAAUAGCUCUCCUGGCUAGAGAUAUCAAGUCUAUUGUCCAAAGGGAGAAACGAUGGAGACAUUGAUUUAUGCUUUAUUCAUAUUCUUGUGGCUGCAUCUGACCUGUGUCAGCCAAGGAGAGAAGGUGGAGCAGCACCCUUCUACCCUGAGUGUCCAGGAGGGAGACAGUGCUGAUAUCAACUGUACUUAUUCAGAGAGUGGUUCAUCUUACUUCCCCUGGUAUAAGCAAGAAGAUGGAAAAGGUCCCCAGAUGAUUAUAGACAUUCAUUCAAAUAAGGAGAUAAAUCAAAUCCAAAGAUUCAUUGUUGUGUUGGAUAAGAAAGCCAAACACUUCUCCCUGAACAUCACAGCCACCCAACCUGGAGACUCAGCUGUCUACUUCUGUGCAGCUGAUGCACGAUGCUUCCCAAACACCUGCAGCCUGUACUCAAACCUAUCACUGGGCUGAGCCCCACCUGCUUCGUUUUUUUGCAAAGACCUUCCAGUAUUGCAUUUUCUAUAUUGUUAUUUUUGCAAGUGGAAUCUAGCAUAUAGGCAUUCAAAGUAU